This 468-nucleotide ribosomal RNA is filed under the name uncultured bacterium. RNAcentral's name for it is "partial 16S ribosomal RNA". It matches the Rfam family "Bacterial small subunit ribosomal RNA", at positions 28 to 507 of the family's 1533-position model. The record is from RNAcentral.
GACGAACGCUGGCGGCGUGCUUAACACAUGCAAGUCGAACGGCAAGGCACUGCUUUUGUGCGCUGCCCGAGUGCCGAACGGGUGAGUAACACGUGAGUAACCUGCCCUUGUCUUUGGGAUAACUUCAGGAAACUGAGGCUAAUACCGGAUCGGAUCUCCUGCUGCAUGGUGGGGGUUGGAAAGUUUCGGCGGUCGGGGAUGGACUCGCGGCUUAUCAGCUUGUUGGUGGGGUAGGGGCUUACCCAGGCAUUGACGGGUAGCCGGCCUGAGAGGGUGAACGGCGACCAUAGGACUGAGAGACGGACCAGACGGCUACGGGAGGCAGCGGGGGGGAAUAUUGCACAAUGAGCGGGAGUGUGAUGAAGAAACGCCGCGUGCGGGAUGACGGCCUGUGGGGUGAAAAACGCUUUCGCCUGUGACGAAGCGGGAGUGACGGUAACGGGUAAAGAAGCACCGGCUAACUACGUG